AGAGUUUGAUUCUGGCUCAGAACGAACGCUGGCGGCGUGGAUAAGACAUGCAAGUCGAGCGCUGAUUACAGGGUAGCAAUAUUCUGUGGUCGGAGCGGCGCAAGGGUGCGUAACACGUGGGUAAUUUGCCAUGAAGUCUGGAAUAACUUGCUGAAAGGCGAGCUAAUGCCGGAUGUGAAAAUUGGGAGGCAUCUUCUGAUUUUCAAAGCUGGGGACCGUAAGGCCUGGCGCUUCAUGAUAAGCCCGCGGCCUAUCAGCUAGUUGGUGAGGUAACGGCUCACCAAGGCUAAGACGGGUAGCUGGUCUGAGAGGACGACCAGCCACACUGGAACUGAGACACGGUCCAGACACCUACGGGUGGCAGCAGUCGAGAAUUUUUCACAAUGGGCGAAAGCCUGAUGGAGCGACGCCGCGUGGGGGAUGAAUGGCUUCGGCCCGUAAACCCCUGUCAUUCGGGAUCAAUGCGUUUGGGUGAACAUCCCAAACGUUGAUAGUACCGGAAGAGGAAGGGACGGCUAACUCUGUGCCAGCAGCCGCGGUAAUACAGAGGUCCCAAGCGUUGUUCGGAUUUACUGGGCGUAAAGGGUGCGUAGGUGGUUGGGUAAGUCUGAUGUGAAAUCUCGGAGCUUAACUCCGAAACGGCAUUGGAUACUAUUCAGCUUGAGAGUUGGAGGGGGGACUGGAAUUCUCGGUGUAGCAGUGAAAUGCGUAGAUAUCGAGAGGAACACCAGUGGCGAAGGCGAGUCCCUGGACAACUUCUGACACUGAGGCACGAAAGCCAGGGGAGCAAACGGGAUUAGAUACCCCGGUAGUCCUGGCCCUAAACGGUGCACGUUUGCUGUAAAAGGAAUCGACCCCUUUUGUGGCGAAGCCAACGCGUUAAACGUGCCGCCUGGGAAGUACGGUCGCAAGAUUAAAACUCAAAGAAAUUGACGGGGGCCUGCACAAGCGGUGGAGUAUGUGGCUNNGUCCCGCAACGAGCGCAACCCCUGUGUCCUGUUGCCACCCGGCUGAAAGGCUGGAGCACUCUGGACAGACUGCCUCGCUUUAACGAGGAGGAAGGUGGGGAUGACGUCAAGUCAGGAUGGCCCUUACGGCCAGGGCUGCACACGUACUACAAUGCCCGGUACAAAGGGAAGCAAGACUGUAAAGUGGAGCAAAUCCCCCAAAACCGGGCCCAGUUCAGAUUGUCGUCUGCAACUCGACGGCAUGAAGCUGGAAUCGCUAGUAAUGGCGCAUCAGCUACGGCGCCGUGAAUACGUUCCCAGGCCUUGUACACACCGCCCGUCACAUCAUGAAAGCCGUUUGUACCCGAAGUCGCCCCUUAAAAGGUGCCGAAGGUAUGGAUGGUGAUUGGGAUGAAGUCGUAACAAGGUAGCCGUAGGGGAACCUGCGGCUG
This 1399-nucleotide ribosomal RNA is filed under the name Limisphaerales bacterium. RNAcentral's name for it is "bacterial SSU rRNA". It matches the Rfam family "Bacterial small subunit ribosomal RNA". The record is from RNAcentral. Lineage: Bacteria; Pseudomonadati; Verrucomicrobiota; Verrucomicrobiia; Limisphaerales.